Xyrauchen texanus (razorback sucker) is the source of this 709-nucleotide non-coding RNA. The record is from the annotation of a RefSeq genome assembly. NCBI's taxonomy places the organism in Eukaryota, Metazoa, Chordata, Actinopteri, Cypriniformes, Catostomidae.
AUGGGUGCCGAAACUAAAAUGCGCUACUCACGCCUCACUCACACCCUGCUCAUAGAGGAUAGUCUGGAGGUUUUUGUACAGCGAGUGAAUGAGAAUGAAUCACUGUGGUGGACUUUUGGUGGAGGAACCAAACUGAGUGUUGGAACUGACACCCAACCGUCUCUAACGGUCCUGCCGCCCUCCAGAGAUGAGUUGCAGCAGGGUGAAGCUACAGUCAUGUGUGUCGGCAGUAAGGGAUUCCCCUCUGACUGGAAGUUGAGCUGGAAGGUGGAUGGUGGCAGCAGAAACUCUGGUGUGAAUGUGAGUCCUGGUGUGCUGCAGAAAGAUGGACUGUACAGCUGGAGCAGCAGUCUGACUCUCACUGAGAGAGAGUGGAGCAGUGCAAAAUCCAUCAGCUGUGAAGCCACUCAGGGCUCCCAGAAACCAGUCACCAAGAUCCUGGACACACAGCAGUGUGAUGUGGAGUGACAGUGCACGCACACACACUCACAGAUGUACACACUGAUAGGACUUCACAUGCACACCUAUAGUAUACAGUGUACUCACACAUUAACAUACACUGUCACACACUGUCCUACAUCAGUAAAUUGGUCAACAGUUAAACUUUCCUCUCUCCAAGCAUGCAGCUUUAACCUUGUUUUAUGUUUUGCAAUGCACUGUGUUGAAUUGCUGAUUCUUUCAUUGCCAAAUAAAAGCAUUUUAAGUCAUU